This 157-nucleotide non-coding RNA is filed under the name bovine gut metagenome. The record is from RNAcentral.
GGGUGUCCGCCAUGUUUGGGGCGGGUGAAAAGGGAAGCCGGUGCGAGUCCGGCGCGAUACCGUCACUGUGUACGGGAGCUGUCCUCCAAACCUCACUGACCGAAAGGUUGGGAAGAGGGAGGGCGGCGAUGAACGAAGCCAGGAGACCUGCCCAGAC